This 83-nucleotide small nucleolar RNA is filed under the name Pseudomassariella vexata. The record is from RNAcentral. Lineage: Eukaryota; Fungi; Ascomycota; Sordariomycetes; Amphisphaeriales; Pseudomassariaceae.
UGUAUAUGAUGAAAAUCUAUAUUUCAGUUCUGCUUCUGAGUAAGAUGAAGAUACCCCAAUACCAAAGUUACAUUCACUGAACA